This 253-nucleotide ribosomal RNA is filed under the name uncultured bacterium. RNAcentral's name for it is "partial 16S ribosomal RNA". It matches the Rfam family "Bacterial small subunit ribosomal RNA", at positions 524 to 776 of the family's 1533-position model. The record is from RNAcentral.
UACGUAGGGUGCAAGCGUUGUCCGGAAUUAUUGGGCGUAAAGAGCUCGUAGGCGGUUUGUUGCGUCGGCUGUGAAAUCCCGAGGCUCAACCUCGGGUCUGCAGUCGAUACGAGCAAACUAGAGUGUUGCAGGGGAGACUGGAAUUCCUGGUGUAGCGGUGAAAUGCGCAGAUAUCAGGAAGAACACCCGUGGCGAAAGCGGCUCUCUGGAACGGUACUGACGCUGAGGUGCGAAAGCGUGGGGAGCAAACAGG